Molecule: unclassified non-coding RNA, 220 nt
Filed under: uncultured bacterium
Lineage: Bacteria
Description: contains 16S-23S intergenic spacer region
Source: RNAcentral
UAGGAGAUGUCAGCGUCUUCUGGCUGAGACUGUGCAAAAGUCUCAUUUGCUAUCCGUAAGACUCAAAACCCAAUAGCAUCCAGUGACUAUCGUCAUCACCUUUAACUUUCCCGAAGAUGUUAGCAUUUUACGGCCGAGACAGCGAAAAAGUCUCAUUCGAUAUCCGUAAGACUCAAAGCCCGAUAGCAUGCAGUCAAUAUCGCCGUCACCAGUACCUUUC